This is a small nuclear RNA of Dendrobium catenatum, 161 nucleotides long. RefSeq annotates it as U1 spliceosomal RNA. The record is from RefSeq and is a predicted model, not a curated record. The transcript has a single exon. Lineage: Eukaryota; Viridiplantae; Streptophyta; Magnoliopsida; Asparagales; Orchidaceae.
AUACUUACUUGGACGGAGUCUUUACGGGUGAUCAGUGAUGUCUAUGGCCUAGAAUAGUGAUCUUCAAUGCACACUGAAGAGGCGCUGGUCUACCAUUUGCCCAAUUGACUGAGUGGAUGUCUUAAUUUGUGUUAGGGGAUGCGAGCCUGCAUGGCUCCUUA